CCCGCCCAAAGAGCUAAUCUUAUAUUGCUGGCUUUUUGCCCUCUCUCUCUCUCUCUCUUCGAUUUGCCAUCCCCAAUCUUCUGUCGAACGAAUUGCAAAGAUCGAACGUGUGAACCAUAUUCGAAAAGUAAAUCAGCACAAAAACAUAGUGAAACUGGUAUCCUGUUAUGGGGACUGAAGAGCCAAAAAACCCAUUAAAAGGGAUGGACUGGAAAAGCAUUGGUGGUUCUGUGCAAAAUGAGCCCAGUGCAGGACCAGUUACAAAAAAGCAACUUCCAGGAAAGAUCGGGCAAAUUCCAGAUUAUUCUUCCCUUCCUCGAAAAUCAAUUCCGUCGGCCAAUGUUGUUUACGGGAAAUUAAUUGCUGCUGGAAUUGGAGCAGGGAUGCUGGCAGAAAUCUGUAUGAACAAGAAGAUCAGAGAUAAAUCACGGCUUUGGAGGUUAAAAGGCCAUUAUAUAUAUAUAUAUAUAUAUAUAUAUAUAUAUAUCUCGCACCACCUUUGUAUGAAAAGAGUUUAAAGAUAAGCCAUUCUCUCUCUUAAUUGUAUCUGCACACUUUGUGGUAUGGCUUAUGACUAAUAUUUCUUUGCCUCUAUUGCUAAGGAUUGUAGAUUCCAUUUGGGGGAGUGACAAAUAUCAAAACUGGGAUGCUACAUUUUGGUAUUCAUGUAUCAAACACUUGUUUAUGUCUCAAGCUUUUCUCAAUGUUUAGAUUUGAUUUGUUCUAUGUAAUAUAGAAAUCUCAGCCGACUUUGUUCGGCUUUUGCGCAUUGUAGAAAGGCAAUAGUCAGCUUGUCAAGUGUUGAUACAGUAGUUCUUAAACCACUUUGUCAGGCUUUUGUUGUAGUUCAUCAGUCAUGAAAUUAUUUACUUUGAAGUUCUUAGCGCUACAGAAAGGAAAUCUAACAAAUUGUUGCAUUGGAAUUAGAGUCAGAGAAAAUUUAGUUUUAGUUUGAA
Molecule: RNA transcript, 956 nt
Organism: Cornus florida
Lineage: Eukaryota; Viridiplantae; Streptophyta; Magnoliopsida; Cornales; Cornaceae
Exons: 3
Source: RefSeq, a predicted model, not a curated record